This 252-nucleotide ribosomal RNA is filed under the name uncultured bacterium. RNAcentral describes it as "partial 16S ribosomal RNA". It matches the Rfam family "Bacterial small subunit ribosomal RNA", at positions 524 to 776 of the family's 1533-position model. The record is from RNAcentral.
UACGUAGGGUGCGAGCGUUGUCCGGAAUUAUUGGGCGUAAAGAGCUCGUAGGCGGUUUGUUGCGUCUAUCGUGAAAACCUGCAGCUUAACUGUGGGCUUGCGGUGGAUACGGGCAGACUUGAGUUCGGUAGGGGAGACUGGAAUUCCUGGUGUAGCGGUGAAAUGCGCAGAUAUCAGGAGGAACACCGGUGCGAAGGCGGGUCUCUGGGCCGAUACUGACGCUGAGGAGCGAAAGCGUGGGGAGCGAACAGG